Molecule: ribosomal RNA, 501 nt
Filed under: uncultured bacterium
Lineage: Bacteria
Description: bacterial SSU rRNA
Rfam family: Bacterial small subunit ribosomal RNA
Source: RNAcentral
CUACGGGAGGCAGCAGUGGGGAAUAUUGCACAAUGGGGGAAACCCUGAUGCAGCCAUGCCGCGUGUGUGAAGAAGGCCUUCGGGUUGUAAAGCACUUUCAGUAGGGAGGAAAGGGUGAGUCUUAAUACGGCUCAUCUGUGACGUUACCUACAGAAGAAGGACCGGCUAACUCCGUGCCAGCAGCCGCGGUAAUACGGAGGGUCCGAGCGUUAAUCGGAAUUACUGGGCGUAAAGCGUGCGCAGGCGGUUUGUUAAGCGAGAUGUGAAAGCCCUGGGCUCAACCUAGGAAUAGCAUUUCGAACUGGCGAACUAGAGUCUUGUAGAGGGGGGUAGAAUUCCAGGUGUAGCGGUGAAAUGCGUAGAGAUCUGGAGGAAUACCGGUGGCGAAGGCGGCCCCCUGGACAAAGACUGACGCUCAUGCACGAAAGCGUGGGGAGCAAACAGGAUUAGAUACCCUGGUAGUCCACGCCGUAAACGAUGUCUAGCUCGGAGUUUGGUGUC